UCGUGGGUUGACUUGUCUGCUUAAUUGCGAUAACGAGCGAGACCUUACUCUGCUAAAUAGCCAGGCUAGCUUUGGCUGGUCGCCGGCUUCUUAGAGAGACUAUCGACUCAAGUCGAUGGAAGUUUGAGGCAAUAACA
This 137-nucleotide ribosomal RNA is filed under the name uncultured eukaryote. RNAcentral's name for it is "partial 18S ribosomal RNA". It matches the Rfam family "Eukaryotic small subunit ribosomal RNA", at positions 1299 to 1458 of the family's 1831-position model. The record is from RNAcentral.